UGGCUCAGUGGUAGAGCACUUGCCUAGCAUGCAUGAGGCACUGGGUUCGAUCCUCAG
This 57-nucleotide transfer RNA is filed under the name Marmota monax (woodchuck). It matches the Rfam family "tRNA", at positions 8 to 63 of the family's 71-position model. From Rfam's summary of the family: Transfer RNA (tRNA) molecules are approximately 80 nucleotides in length. Lineage: Eukaryota; Metazoa; Chordata; Mammalia; Rodentia; Sciuridae. RNAcentral also lists the same sequence under 1 other name. The record is from Rfam by way of RNAcentral.